Molecule: ribosomal RNA, 460 nt
Filed under: uncultured bacterium
Lineage: Bacteria
Description: partial 16S ribosomal RNA
Rfam family: Bacterial small subunit ribosomal RNA
Source: RNAcentral
CCUACGGGUGGCAGCAGUGAGGAAUAUUGGUCAAUGGACGCAAGUCUGAACCAGCCAUGCCGCGUGCAGGAAGACGGCUCUAUGAGUUGUAAACUGCUUUUGUACGAGGAUAAACGCAGAUACGCGUAUCUGUCUGAAAGUACCGUACGAAUAAGGAUCGGCUAACUCCGUGCCAGCAGCCGCGGUAAUACGGAGGAUUCAAGCGUUAUCCGGAUUUAUUGGGUUUAAAGGGUGCGUAGACGGUCGGUUAAGUUAGUGGUGAAAUCCCGAGGCUCAACUGCGGAAUUGCCUCUGAUACUGUUCGUCUAGAGAGUAGUUGCGGUAGGCGGAAUGUAUGGUGUAGCGGUGAAAUGCUUAGAGAUCAUACAGAACACCGAUUGCGAAGGCAGCUUACCAAGCUACUUCUGACGUUGAGGCACGAAAGCGUGGGGAGCAAACAGGAUUAGAUACCCUUGUAGUC